This 496-nucleotide ribosomal RNA is filed under the name uncultured bacterium. RNAcentral's name for it is "partial 16S ribosomal RNA". It matches the Rfam family "Bacterial small subunit ribosomal RNA", at positions 30 to 508 of the family's 1533-position model. The record is from RNAcentral.
UGACCGCUGGCGGCGUGCCUAAUACAUGCACGUCGAGCGAACAGACGAGGAGCUUGCUCCUCUGACGUUAGCGGCGGACGGGUGAGUAACACGUGGAUAACCUACCUAUAAGACUGGGAUAACUUCGGGAAACCGGAGCUAAUACCGGAUAAUAUAUUGAACCGCAUGGUUCAAUAGUGAAAGACGGUUUUGCUGUCACUUAUAGAUGGAUCCGCGCCGCAUUAGCUAGUUGGUAAGGUAACGGCUUACCAAGGCAACGAUGCGUAGCCGACCUGAGAGGGUGAUCGGCCACACUGGAACUGAGACACGGUCCAGACUCCUACGGGAGGCAGCAGUAGGGAAUCUUCCGCAAUGGGCGAAAGCCUGACGGAGCAACGCCGCGUGAGUGAUGAAGGUCUUCGGAUCGUAAAACUCUGUUAUUAGGGAAGAACAAAUGUGUAAGUAACUAUGCACGUCUUGACGGUACCUAAUCAGAAAGCCACGGCUAACUACGUGC